RNAcentral lists this ribosomal RNA (916 nucleotides) under uncultured bacterium. Its description in RNAcentral is "bacterial SSU rRNA". It matches the Rfam family "Bacterial small subunit ribosomal RNA", at positions 8 to 916 of the family's 1533-position model. The record is from RNAcentral.
AGAGUUUGAUCCUGGCUCAGGAUGAACGCUAGCGGCAGGCUUUAAUACAUGCAAGUCGAGGGGCAGCAGGACUGUAGCAAUACAGUUGCUGGCGACCGGCAAACGGGUGCGGAACACGUACGCAAUCUACCCAAAACUGGUGAAUAGCCUUCCGAAAGGAAGAUUAAUACACCGUAACCUAAUUGUAGUGGCAUCACUAUAUUAGUAUAGCUCCGGCGGUUUUGGAUGAGCGUGCGGCUGAUUAGAUAGUUGGUGUGGGUAACGGCCCACCAAGUCUGCGAUCAGUAACUGGUGUGAGAGCACGACCAGUCACACGGGCACUGAGACACGGGCCCGACUCCUACGGGAGGCAGCAGUAAGGAAUAUUGGUCAAUGGACGCAAGUCUGAACCAGCCAUGCCGCGUGAAGGAUGAAGGUCCUCUGGAUUGUAAACUUCUUUUAUAGGGGACGAAACCUCUUUUUCUAAAGAGACUGACGGUACCCUAGGAAUAAGCACCGGCUAACUCCGUGCCAGCAGCCGCGGUAAUACGGAGGGUGCAAGCGUUAUCCGGAUUCACUGGGUUUAAAGGGUGCGUAGGAGGGCAGGUAAGUCAGUGGUGAAAUCUCUGGGCUCAACCCGGAAACUGCCGUUGAUACUAUCUGUCUUGAAUACUGUGGAGGUGAGCGGAAUAUGUCAUGUAGCGGUGAAAUGCUUAGAUAUGACAUAGAACACCAAUUGCGAAGGCAGCUCACUACACAUAUAUUGACUCUGAGGCACGAAAGCGUGGGGAUCAAACAGGAUUAGAUACCCUGGUAGUCCACGCCCUAAACUAUGGAUACUCGACAUACGCGAUAAACUGUGUGUGUCUGAGCGAAAGCAUUAAGUAUCCCACCUGGGAAGUACGACCGCAAGGUUGAAACUCAAAUGAAUUGACGG